Molecule: ribosomal RNA, 301 nt
Filed under: uncultured bacterium
Lineage: Bacteria
Description: partial 16S ribosomal RNA
Rfam family: Bacterial small subunit ribosomal RNA
Source: RNAcentral
CAGUAGCCGCGGGAAUACGAAGGGUGCAAGCGUUACUCGGAAUUACUGGGCGUAAAGCGUGCGUAGGUGGUGGUUUAAGUCCGUUGUGAAAGCCCUGGGCUCAACCUGGGAAUUGCAGUGGAUACUGGGUCACUAGAGUGUGGUAGAGGAUAGUGGAAUCUCCGGUGUAGCAGUGAAGUGCGUAGAGAUCGGAAGGAACAUCUGUGGCGAAGGCGACUAUCUGGGCCAACACUGACACUGAGGCACGAAAGCGUGGGGAGCAAACAGGAUUAGAUACCCCCGUAGUCCCUGUCUCUUAUAA